AUUGAACGCUGGCGGCAGGCCUAACACAUGCAAGUCGAGCGGAUGAAGGGAGCUUGCUCCUGGAUUCAGCGGCGGACGGGUGAGUAAUGCCUAGGAAUCUGCCUGGUAGUGGGGGAUAACGUCCGGAAACGGGCGCUAAUACCGCAUACGUCCUGAGGGAGAAAGUGGGGGAUCUUCGGACCUCACGCUAUCAGAUGAGCCUAGGUCGGAUUAGCUAGUUGGUGGGGUAAAGGCCCACCAAGGCGACGAUCCGUAACUGGUCUGAGAGGAUGAUCAGUCACACUGGAACUGAGACACGGUCCAGACUCCUACGGGAGGCAGCAGUGGGGAAUAUUGGACAAUGGGCGAAAGCCUGAUCCAGCCAUGCCGCGUGUGUGAAGAAGGUCUUCGGAUUGUAAAGCACUUUAAGUUGGGAGGGAGGGCAGUAAGUUAAUACCUUGCUGUUUUGACGUUACCAACAGAAUAAGCACCGGCUAACUUCGUG
RNAcentral lists this ribosomal RNA (484 nucleotides) under uncultured bacterium. RNAcentral describes it as "partial 16S ribosomal RNA". It matches the Rfam family "Bacterial small subunit ribosomal RNA", at positions 30 to 507 of the family's 1533-position model. The record is from RNAcentral.